CCAGAGAACUUAGCAGAGAUGCUUUGGUGGCCUUCGGGAACUCUGAGACAGGUGCUGCAUGGCUGUCGUCAGCUCGUGUUGUGAAAUGUUGGGUUAAGUCCCGCAACGAGCGCAACCCUUAUCCUUUGUUGCCAGCGGUCCGGCCGGGAACUCAAAGGAGACUGCCAGUGAUAAACUGGAGGAAGGUGGGGAUGACGUCAAGUCAUCAUGGCCCUUACGAGUAGGGCUACACACGUGCUACAAUGGCGCAUACAAAGAGAAGCGACCUCGCGAGAGCAAGCGGACCUCAUAAAGUGCGUCGUAGUCCGGAUUGGAGUCUGCAACUCGACUCCAUGAAGUCGGAAUCGCUAGUAAUCGUAGAUCAGAAUGCUACGGUGAAUACGUUCCCGGGCCUUGUACACACCGCCCGUCACACCAUGGGAGUGGGUUGCAAAAGAAGUAGGUAGCUUAACCUUCGGGAGGGCGCUUACCACUUUGUGAUUCAUGACUGGGGUGAAGUCGUAACAAGGUAAGCGUAGACGU
This 522-nucleotide ribosomal RNA is filed under the name uncultured bacterium. RNAcentral's name for it is "bacterial SSU rRNA". It matches the Rfam family "Bacterial small subunit ribosomal RNA", at positions 988 to 1509 of the family's 1533-position model. The record is from RNAcentral.